CGUCUAGGCGGAUCGGUUAGUCGGCUGUGAAAUCCCUCGGCUCACCCGAGGAAGUGCAUCCGAUACUGCCGGUCUUGAGUACGAGAGGGGAGAGUGGAACUCCUGGUGGAGCGGUGAAAUGCGUAGAUAUCAGGAGGAACGCCGGUGGCGAAAGCGACUCUCUGGCUCGUUACUGACGCUGAAGCGCGAAAGCUAGGGGAGCGAACG
RNAcentral lists this ribosomal RNA (207 nucleotides) under uncultured bacterium. RNAcentral describes it as "partial 16S ribosomal RNA". It matches the Rfam family "Bacterial small subunit ribosomal RNA", at positions 568 to 774 of the family's 1533-position model. The record is from RNAcentral.